RNAcentral lists this long non-coding RNA (605 nucleotides) under Androctonus crassicauda. Lineage: Eukaryota; Metazoa; Arthropoda; Arachnida; Scorpiones; Buthidae. The record is from RNAcentral.
AAUUUAUUUUCGUUAUUUUUUUUUAUGUUAGCAAUUUAAAAUUCCGUCAUUACAAUAUUUUCGCGAACCUCUUUUGUACACUUCGCAAAUCCCCAGCAGUUUGUGAACCACCGGUUGGGAACUGAUGUCAUAGGGAUAUCAUGUGUUAGAAUUUUAUGAUGUCAUCCAUUGGUAUUUCAUACUCAUAAAUAGAGGGACUCAUUAAGGCAUUGCCUUAUAGAGCUACAGCUCCCUUGCACCACCAUGAAGGUACUAUAGGGAUCCUCUUGCAAGAUGUAACUGGCUUUAGUCAUAGCCAAUGCAUGGCAGGGAUUUAGUCCACCUCCUCCAGGUCCACUUCUAUAAGAGAGGUCCAGCUGAUCCAGCCGGCCUGCUAAAUAGAUUCUUCUGGCCUCUGCCUCUCAUGCAUGGUGUUGCUUUAGCAACUGAUAAUAGCCAACAAAUGCUGCAUCAAGCAUUGCAACUUACAAAACCAAAUUGCUUAAGUUCAUUAAAUGAUUACUGCUAUAAAGUGCUUGUUUUAAAGUUAACUCAAUAAAUAUUUAUUUUAUUUUGCGAAGUACUUUCAGCUAAUCACCAUCCUCAGUGCUAAUAUUCAAAUACAG